Molecule: ribosomal RNA, 301 nt
Filed under: uncultured bacterium
Lineage: Bacteria
Description: partial 16S ribosomal RNA
Rfam family: Bacterial small subunit ribosomal RNA
Source: RNAcentral
CAGUCGCCGCGGGAAUACGAAGGGUGCAAGCGUUACUCGGAAUUACUGGGCGUAAAGCGUGUGUAGGUGGUUGUUUAAGUCUGUCGUGAAAGCCCUGGGCUCAACCUGGGAAUUGCGAUGGAUACUGGGCGACUAGAGUGCGGUAGAGGAUAGUGGAAUUUCCGGUGUAGCAGUGGAAUGCGUAGAGAUCGGAAGGAACAUCUGUGGCGAAGGCGACUAUCUGGGCCAACACUGACACUGAGACACGAAAGCGUGGGGAGCAAACAGGAUUAGAUACCCCAGUAGUCCCUGUCUCUUAUAC